This 802-nucleotide ribosomal RNA is filed under the name Cichlidogyrus amieti. RNAcentral describes it as "eukaryotic LSU rRNA". It matches the Rfam family "Eukaryotic large subunit ribosomal RNA", at positions 68 to 650 of the family's 3401-position model. Lineage: Eukaryota; Metazoa; Platyhelminthes; Monogenea; Dactylogyridea; Ancyrocephalidae. The record is from RNAcentral.
ACCAGGAUUCUCCUAGUAACGGCGAGUGAACGGAGAUUAGCCCAUCACCGAAGCCUGCGUGUGUUUGCAUGCUAGGCAAUGUGGUGUUAAGGUGUGUACCUGGGACCGUGUCCCUACCCGAAGUCUAAAUCCGAUUGUGGCUUUGGAUUCAUUCCAUAGCGGGUGAAAGUCCCGUGCGGGUAGGAUUAUUGCAAAUCAACACGGUCCUCAGAUGUGCAUACUUUCGAGUCGGAUUGCUUGAGAAUGCAGUCCAAAGUGGGUGGUAAACUCCAUCCAAGGCUAAAUACUGGCACGAGUCCGAUAGUAGACAAGUACCGUGAGGGAAAGUUGAAAAGUACUCUGAAGAGAGAGUAAAUAGUACGUGAAGCCGAUUGCAGGGAAGCUGGUGGAGUCAAGCUUCGUGCUUGGGGGAUUGAUGCUGAGAGCAGGUGUGUGAAUUGAAUGUGAGAUUGGUCGACUUGGAAUAAGUUGGGCGUGUUCUGAAUGCGCUUCAAGUCAUUCCGGGUAGAGUGUUUUGUGCCAGUUUCGCUUUUCUACUCUCAGUGUUGUAUUCCUCGCUGCACAGGCCACAGUCAAUAGGUGCAUGCAGUAUGAUGGCCUAACUGGUGCUUUGGUGGGUGCAAACCUUCCGGGCGCAGGAUGGCAGGUGCUGUCUUCAGACCUCGUGUCUGUUGAUAGUUGUUGUGGUUUUGACCGGCUGGACGUCAUACUGUGUUGUGCUUAUUGUCUUUAUAUGGCGCAGCUUCCAAGGAAGUUGUGUUGUCAAGAACUGUGGCUCUGAGGUAGACUUUCCACCGGACCC